Amphimedon queenslandica is the source of this 408-nucleotide long non-coding RNA. RefSeq lists it as uncharacterized. The transcript has 6 exons. The record is from RefSeq and is a predicted model, not a curated record. Lineage: Eukaryota; Metazoa; Porifera; Demospongiae; Haplosclerida; Niphatidae.
AGAGUAUGGUUACAAACAAAACAAAGGAGAAACUUGAAACUUAUGAAACAUUAAAGAACGCAAAUAACACUUCUCCUUACACUAAACAAUGGAAUAAAAGACUCCAGCAACUGAGAAAGGAGCCUACACCACCAAUUCAAAAAAUCGAGCAUGAAGACUCUAAUAAUGUCAUGCAACCUAUUACAUCUAAUCUCUACAUGAGGAAACUCCAUCCUGAUAUAACAGCAUCAUGGAAGGUUGCACUGACAAUAAAAGAUAAACCACAUCACACCAUCACCAAGAUUGAGAGACCAAUGCCUGCCACUAUAUUCAAUAGAUACAGGGCCACAAGAAGGCCCUAUUCAGCCUAUCCAUGGUAUUAAUCACAACAAUUAUUAAACUGCUAAGUACUGAAAAUUAAGCUCCUAA